UGGAGGGAUUAGUUUUCAUAGAGGCCAUGACGCUGCUCGAAUUUAUACCGCCGCUCCCUCUGUGUAUCACGGGCUAGAAAAGUGUCGCCUAGCGAAGUCCAAGACAACUUUUAAUAAGUGUAUUUUAACGUUACUGAAUAACUUAUCCUUUGUUUCAGCUACUCAGCUGACAAAUAAGAAGACAAAUUUUGGGGGGGAGUUUUUUCAGACUUCCAGCUGGAGGAAAUAAAUUGGAAAUGAUGGAUGUCAGAUGUUUGUGUUUUAUGGGAGACCAUGGGAAUCGUGCGAUAAAGCCUUAGGACCCCUGACCAGACUCCUGGUGUUUAACAAAGGUAGACAGAAGCUUUGAAGAACCUCUAUGUUUUACCUUUGGCAGCGCUUCGAGGACCAGCGC
Monopterus albus (swamp eel) is the source of this 394-nucleotide long non-coding RNA. RefSeq lists it as uncharacterized. The record is from RefSeq and is a predicted model, not a curated record. NCBI's taxonomy places the organism in Eukaryota, Metazoa, Chordata, Actinopteri, Synbranchiformes, Synbranchidae. The transcript has 3 exons.